Molecule: transfer RNA, 72 nt
Filed under: Camelus bactrianus (Bactrian camel)
Lineage: Eukaryota; Metazoa; Chordata; Mammalia; Artiodactyla; Camelidae
Also listed under: 2 other names
Rfam family: tRNA
About the family: Transfer RNA (tRNA) molecules are approximately 80 nucleotides in length. Their secondary structure includes four short double-helical elements and three loops (D, anti-codon, and T loops). Further hydrogen bonds mediate the characteristic L-shaped molecular structure. tRNAs have two regions of fundamental functional importance: the anti-codon, which is responsible for specific mRNA codon recognition, and the 3' end, to which the tRNAs corresponding amino acid is attached (by aminoacyl-tRNA synthetases). tRNAs cope with the degeneracy of the genetic code in two manners: having more than one tRNA (with a specific anti-codon) for a particular amino acid; and 'wobble' base-pairing, i.e. permitting non-standard base-pairing at the 3rd anti-codon position.
Source: Rfam by way of RNAcentral
GAGGGUAUAGCUCAAUGGUAGAGUGUGUGCUUAGCAUGCACGAGGUCCUGGGUUCAAUCCCCAGAACCUCCA